CGGCCAGACCCUAACCAGGACAACGCAGGGCCAACUGUGCGCUGCMCUAUGGGACUCCCGGUUGUGAUACAUCCCGGGAUCAAACCAGAGUCUGUAGUGACGCCUCUCGCACUGUGAUGCAGUGCCUUAGACCGCUGCCCCACUCAGGAGUAUCAUCACUGACCGGCGAGUUGAGUUUGUAAGCGAUGUACCUAGUCUUACAGUCACUGAUGUCAAACAUUGGUCAUGAAAAGGCUAACACUUUCGAAUCAUAACCAURCAAGUGCUAUGUUUGUCACUUUUUCAUUUUCAGCUCAACAGAUCCAUAAUAGACAUAAGGUUUGCCCAGCUAGACGCCAAUACGGAGCUAGUAGCAGAAAUGGACACCAAAGAURUGAGUAUACAAAUAUAUUAGAAGUGUAGUAAUUAAUGUAAUGUCUGUAACACAAACAUCUCCCCUGGUACACAACAGAGUAACACUUUCUCUCAAUAGGUGAAAACACUUCCCGUGUGUACAUUCAUAUCCUGGUUGUGCAGUUGGACUAACAGCAGACAUGUCCAUGUCUUGUUACCUGAAGAUCAGAGUGUACAACUCAAAAGGCUCCCGCCAAGGCAUCAGGUCAGAGGGUCUGGACUUGCUGAGGUACCUCAACCCUCUCCAUACUUCAAUUUCAAAACACAUGGGAAAUCGUGGUUGUGGUAUAUUAACCCUUUACACUAGUGGGAAUUGGCUGAUACGGAUAGGGCUAAAUUGAAAUGUUUCUUACAUAAGAAAUAUGAAAUGCAUAUGCAUAACCAGGAUAGCAAUUGAAAGGGAACAGUUUGGAAAAGUAUUAGACAAAGAUGAGGACACAACAAUAAGAGAAGCAGAAAUAUUAACAAAAUCUGAAAAUACUCUGGAUAUAAUCAGUAACAUAAUAAGACUAUUUCUGGGGUAGGUACGUGCAACAUGAGACAAAAACAUUUACAGACAACAAAACAUUUGCUAAAGUUGCAGGGUACAAGUGUAAAGGGAUACAUAACAAAAUACUGUAUUUAUUGCAGCAAUGCCUUCCGGGAACGUAUGGGAUCUGAGUGAAUCAUAAAGGCGCCGGAGGGGAUGGAUGCCGUUUUACGGGCUCCUAACCAACUGUGCUAUUU
This is a non-coding RNA of Salvelinus sp. IW2-2015, 1119 nucleotides long. NCBI's taxonomy places the organism in Eukaryota, Metazoa, Chordata, Actinopteri, Salmoniformes, Salmonidae. The record is from RefSeq and is a predicted model, not a curated record.